GAUGAACGCUGGCGGCGUGCCUAAUACAUGCAAGUCGAGCGAACAGACGAGGAGCUUGCUUUCUUGACGUUAGCGGCGGACGGGGGAGUAACACGUGGAUAACCCUCCUAUAUGACUGGGAUAACUUCGGGAAACCGGAGCUAAUACCGGAAAAUAUUUUGAACCGCAUGGUUCAAAAGUGAAAGACGGUUUUGCUGUCAAUUAUAGAUGGAUCCGCGCUGCAUUAGCUAGUUGGUAAGGUAACGGCUUACCAAGGCAACGAUGCAUAGCCGACCUGAGAGGGUGAUCGGCCACACUGGAACUGAGACACGGUCCAGACUCCUACGGGAGGCAGCAGUAGGGAAUCUUGCGCAAUGGGCGAAAGCCUGACGGAGCAACGCCGCGUGAGUGAUGAAGGUCUUCGGAUCGUAAAGCUCUGUUAUUAGGGAAGAACAGAUGUGUAAGUAACUAUGCACAUCUUGACGGUACCUAAUCAGAAAGCCACGGCUAACUACGUG
This 497-nucleotide ribosomal RNA is filed under the name uncultured bacterium. RNAcentral describes it as "partial 16S ribosomal RNA". It matches the Rfam family "Bacterial small subunit ribosomal RNA", at positions 28 to 507 of the family's 1533-position model. The record is from RNAcentral.